RNAcentral lists this small RNA (351 nucleotides) under Punctularia strigosozonata HHB-11173 SS5. RNAcentral's name for it is "5' ureB small RNA". It matches the Rfam family "5' ureB small RNA". The record is from Rfam by way of RNAcentral. Lineage: Eukaryota; Fungi; Basidiomycota; Agaricomycetes; Corticiales; Punctulariaceae.
CUUCGUUAACCUGUUGGGGACAUAUGUAAUGAACGUGGGCAUCGAUAGCGCCCGCUGUGAGGAUCAUUUUUUCCCCAGCGAUGACCUCCGUGGACGAGCCGAUGACGAGGGACGGGUGCACGCCUGCCAUGACGUCUGGGUUGCCCGCCUUGCCAAUUCCGGCGAUAUAACCGUUCUUGACACCGACGUCCGCCUAUACCCGCAACGGUAAGGCCAGGGAGAUAACCGAUGGAAAGGGGAGGACAGACCUUGUAGAUACCCGACCAGUCGACAAUAAGCGCGUUUGUGAUCACAAGGUCUAGGGUCUCGGACGACGAUCGAUUGGUCGCUUGUCCCAUCCCUUCCCGUAUG